RNAcentral lists this long non-coding RNA (993 nucleotides) under Salmo salar (Atlantic salmon). Its description in RNAcentral is "lncRNA (ENSSSAG00000092138.1)". The record is from RNAcentral. Lineage: Eukaryota; Metazoa; Chordata; Actinopteri; Salmoniformes; Salmonidae.
UAAUAUCAGAACAUCAGACAUGUUAAUAUGUGUUGUAGUGGUUUAAUAAUAUCAGAACAUCGGACAUGUUAAUAUGUGUUGUAGUGGUUUAAUAAUAUCAGAACAUCAGACAUGUUAAUAUGUGUUGUAGUGGUUUAAUAAUAUCAGAAUAUCAGACAUGUUAAUAUGUGGAUGGGCAUUACUCUGGAUCAGAAGGUUGGGUUUUGGUUGGGGAGGUGGAUGGGCAUUACUCUGGAUCAGAAGGUUGGGUUUUGGUUGGGGAGGUGGAUGGGCAUUACUCUGGAUCAGAAGGUUGGGUUUUGGUUGGGGAGGUGGAUGGGCAUUACUCUGGAUCAGAAGGUUGGGUUUUGGUUGGGGAGGUUGAUGGGCAUUACUCUGGAUCAGAAGGUUGGGUUUUGGUUGGGGAGGUGGAUGGGCAUUACUCUGGAUCAGAAGGUUGGGUUUUGGUUGGGGAGGUGGAUGGGCAUUACUCUGGAUCAGAAGGUUGGGUUUUGGUUGGGGAGGUGGGAUGGGCAUUACUCUGGAUCAGAAGGUUGGGUUUUGGUUGGGGAGGUUGAUGGGCAUUACUCUGGAUCAGAAGGUUGGGUUUUGGUUGGGGAGGUUGAUGGGCAUUACUCUGGAUCAGAAGGUUGGGUUUUGGUUGGGGAGGUGGAUGGGCAUUACUCUGGAUCAGAAGGUUGGGUGUCUGAUCCCAGUAUUUUUUAAUUUAUACUGAACAAAAAUAUAACGCAACAUGCAACAAUAUCAAAGAUUUUACUGAGUUACAGUUCAUAGAAGGAAAUCCAUCAGUUGAAAUAAAUAAAUGAGGUCCUAAUCUAUGGAUUUCACAUGACUGGGCAGGGGCUCAGCAAUGAGUGGCCCCUGGGAGGGCAUAGGCCCACCCACUUGGGAGCCGGGUCUACCCACUGGGGAGGCAUUCCCAGCCAAUCAGAAUUAUUUUUCCCCCACAAAAGGGUUUUAUUACACACAGAAAUACUCCUGUGCACCCCUCCC